This 253-nucleotide ribosomal RNA is filed under the name uncultured bacterium. Its description in RNAcentral is "partial 16S ribosomal RNA". It matches the Rfam family "Bacterial small subunit ribosomal RNA", at positions 524 to 776 of the family's 1533-position model. The record is from RNAcentral.
UACGUAGGGGGCCAGCGUUGUCCGAAGUUACUGGGCGUAAAGAGCGCGUAGGCGGGCCCUUAAGUGGGGGGUGAAAGGUUGGGGCUCAACCCCAACACUGCCUUUCAUACUGGGGGCCUUGAGUGCGGGAGAGGCGAGUGGAAUGGUCGGUGUAGCGGUGAAAUGCGUAGAUAUCAGGAGGAACACCGAUGGCGAAGGCAGGUCUCUGGGCAUUAACUGACGCUGAGGAGCGAAAGCAUGGGGAGCGAACAGG